GACGAACGCUGGCGGCGUGCUUAACACAUGCAAGUCGAACGGAAAGGCCCUGCUUGCAGGGUGCUCGAGUGGCGAACGGGUGAGUAACACGUGGGUGAUCUGCCCCUUAUUUUGGGAUAAGCCUGGGAAACUGGGUCUAAUACUGGAUAGGACCAUGCUGUAGGUGGUGUGGUGGAAAGAUUAGUUUCGGUAAGGGAUGAGCUCGCGGCCUAUCAGCUUGUUGGUGGGGUAAUGGCCUACCAAGGCGUCGACGGGUAGCCGGCCUGAGAGGGUGGACGGCAACAUUGGGACUGCGACACGGGCCAGAAGCCUACGAGAGGCAGCAGUGGGGAAUAGUGCACAAUAGGCGCAAGCCGGAUGCAGCGACGCCGCGUGGGGGAUGACGGCCUUCUGGUUGUAAACACCUUUCAGCCAUGACGAAGCCCUUGUGGUGACGGUAGUGGUAGAAGAAGCACCGGCUAACUACGUG
Molecule: ribosomal RNA, 469 nt
Filed under: uncultured bacterium
Lineage: Bacteria
Description: partial 16S ribosomal RNA
Rfam family: Bacterial small subunit ribosomal RNA
Source: RNAcentral